This 206-nucleotide unclassified non-coding RNA is filed under the name plant metagenome. Its description in RNAcentral is "partial contains small subunit ribosomal RNA and internal transcribed spacer 1". The stretch from base 1 to 47 matches the Rfam family "Eukaryotic small subunit ribosomal RNA", at positions 1785 to 1831 of the family's 1831-position model. The record is from RNAcentral.
AAAGUCGUAACAAGGUCUCCGUAGGUGAACCUGCGGAGGGAUCAUUACCGAGUGAGGGCCCCCGGCCCGACCUCCAACCCCUUUGUAAACCGACCCUGUUGCCUCGGGGGGACUUCCGGCGUCUUUCGGGGCACCGGGGCCCCCCGGUGGACCCCCCCAACUCUGCGUCUUUGCGUCUGAGUCUUGAAUGAUAAAAUCAAUGAAAA